AGUGAACGCUGGCGGUAGGCCUAACACAUGCAAGUCGAACGGCAGCACAGUAAGAGCUUGCUCUUACGGGUGGCGAGUGGCGGACGAGUGAGGAAUACAUCGGAAUCUACUUUUUCGUGGGGGAUAACGUAGGGAAACUUACGCUAUACCGCAUACGACCUACGGGUGAAAGCAGGGGAUCUUCGGACCUUGCGCGAUUGAAUGAGCCGAUGUCGGAUUAGCUAGUUGGCGGGGUAAAGGCCCACCAAGGCGACGAUCCGUAGCUGGUCUGAGAGGAUGAUCAGCCACACUGGAACUGAGACACGGUCCAGACUCCUACGGGAGGCAGCAGUGGGGAAUAUUGGACAAUGGGCGCAAGCCUGAUCCAGCCAUACCGCGUGGGUGAAGAAGGCCUUCGGGUUGUAAAGCCCUUUUGUUGGGAAAGAAAAGCAGCAGGUUAAUACCCCGCUGUUCUGACGGUACCCAAAGAAUAAGCACCGGCUAACUUCGUG
RNAcentral lists this ribosomal RNA (491 nucleotides) under uncultured bacterium. RNAcentral's name for it is "partial 16S ribosomal RNA". It matches the Rfam family "Bacterial small subunit ribosomal RNA", at positions 29 to 507 of the family's 1533-position model. The record is from RNAcentral.